CUGCCCUCAAGCACGGCUUGUGUGUUGGGUGUGGUCCCCCCGGUUUCGGGGGGACCUGCCCGAAAGGCAGCGGCGACGCCCCGCCUAGGUCCUCGAGCGUAUGGGGCUUUGUCACCCGCUCGGGAGGGGCCUGCGGGCGUUGGUCAUCCACAUCUUUUUUUACGG
Molecule: unclassified non-coding RNA, 165 nt
Filed under: uncultured Talaromyces
Lineage: Eukaryota; Fungi; Ascomycota; Eurotiomycetes; Eurotiales; Trichocomaceae
Description: sequence contains ITS2
Source: RNAcentral